GGACCAGGCUUUUCACUGCCAAUCCAUUCAGGGUUUUCCUUAAGUUUUGCUUAGAUUUAACUUUGAAUUUAGGGAAGGACAGAUAUUCAUCAGAAACAGGAAAUGAGGAGCUGUGAUUGUAGGAAGCAAUUCCCAAGGUGGUGUCUGAUGCACUGAGAUGAAAGUCCUUCACAGGUGCCCUCCUGCUCCUGAGGCCUCGCUGCCUUUGAGUUACCUGGGUGCAGCCCACUCCAAGGGCUUCAUCCUUCUCGUUUUUGUGGCAGCUCAUCUUAGGAGUUGUGGGCUGUCCUGUGCACAGGACUAUAGUUUCAAAAGCAGAGACGCUCUAUGUCCCCAUCAGAGGAAGCAGGAAGAGGAGGCACUCAGGACCAGGCCACGUCAGAGUUUCUGGUUGUGCCCUCGCUCUGCACAGUGCACAAUGGGGUCCCGUGGUGACUGUGGGUGGCCAGGCACAGUCCCCUCCACCCACAACUCUGCUCCCUGUCCUGGGAGUCAGCUGUGAGUACUGUGGGGUCCCACUCUUGAUUCGGCCCUGCAGUCUGUGCUCCACAAUCACCCUCAGGACAUGGCCAAGCCAUACCAAGAGAAGCACUGGUCAGUGCCGACCUCCUGUGAGAUAGGCCGGAGGAGGGACCUGGGCUGGACAGGCAGCCUGUGGACUGAGCUGAAAAACCAGAAGGGACUGGUGGCAGUCCCAAGGGACCAGGCCAGCCACCCAGCCCUGCAGGAACCCAGACCCCUGCACCUUCUGCCCUCUCGGACCAUGGAACUGGGUUUGUGCUGCAACCAAGGGACUAGGAGUGCUCCACAGAGGCUCACCCAGCCCUCCUCCUGUCCUUGUUUCUGUACAGCACUUAGCUCCAAGGGCAGCGACCGCACGAGGUAUGUGCUCACCCACUACAUCUGGAGCAUCGAAAGUCCAGCUGGCUUUCCAUCCACUUAUGUCUUUAGACAGUAGCAGAGGCCUAAACCUUUCUGAGAAGAAAUACAUAUAUAUAUCUUCACCCCGUGGUGCAUAAAUUGUCCUGACUUCAACCAAAAGAAUCCCUUCCUGUGGAUCCUGCAUCUUCCUGCCACAAACCUCCAGUGGCCACAGCUGUCUUGUUUGGCACCAACCAUGUCAUGGUCUCUUGCUGUGCUGAGCUUCCCUGUGCCUGGAUCUUACAGGUUCUGUGGGCUCAGCAAGGAGGGACCCUGCUGCUCCUAGCCUUGCUCCAGGCCUCCUUCAGAGCAGAUCUGGGAGACAAGCACACUUCAAAAUGGAUAUAAAGAGGACAAGCCAGAAAAGAGAGGGACCGGUCAGAAUAUUGCAAGUGAACUGGAUGUUACUCUCGACGUUAUGCCUCUAUUCCUUUUCCCUAAAAAUUCUAUUGCCAGAAUAUUUGUGUUCUUUUGUUUGUCCCCUAGUGCAGUUUCAAACUAAACACACUUGUAGUGCUGUAGAAAUGAGCCCAGAGCGAAGGCUGUGCUCUUAGGAGUCACGGGCCUUCAGAUGGUGUCUGCGGAGCACAUACCUUCAAAGCUCCGUCCCUCACAGACACCCCGGGCUUCUUUGUGCUCUGGCUCCAGAGAGUGGGCAAUGCCUGCUUCCCAGGGCUGUGGGCCAGCUUGUCGUGCAGUGAGGACAUUACUUUCCUUUGUUUUGAAUUAGCAACUACUUGGAACAUUGCAUUUUAU
RNAcentral lists this long non-coding RNA (1677 nucleotides) under Marmota monax (woodchuck). The record is from RNAcentral. Lineage: Eukaryota; Metazoa; Chordata; Mammalia; Rodentia; Sciuridae.